GCGAAGGGGAAAAUGCAGUCUCCCCUUGAGACCCCGGUCCAAGCACUGCGCAACACUCGACUUGUCGAGGAGAUUUGCGCAUG
RNAcentral lists this non-coding RNA (83 nucleotides) under unclassified sequences. RNAcentral's name for it is "chrB RNA". The stretch from base 5 to 49 matches the Rfam family "chrB-b RNA". The record is from RNAcentral.